RNAcentral lists this ribosomal RNA (496 nucleotides) under uncultured bacterium. RNAcentral describes it as "partial 16S ribosomal RNA". It matches the Rfam family "Bacterial small subunit ribosomal RNA", at positions 29 to 507 of the family's 1533-position model. The record is from RNAcentral.
AUGAACGCUGGCGGCGUGCCUAAUACAUGCAAGUCGAGCGAACAGACGAGGAGCUUGCUCCUCUGACGUUAGCGGCGGACGGGUGAGUAACACGUGGAUAACCUACCUAUAAGCCUGGGAUAACUUCGGGAAACCGGAGCUAAUACCGGAUAAUAUAUUGAACCGCAUGGUUCCAUAGUGAAAGACGGUUUUGCUGUCACUUAUAGAUGGAUCCGCGCCGCAUUAGCUAGUUGGUAGGGUAACGGCUUACCAAGGCAACGAUGCGUAGCCGACCUGAGAGGGUGAUCGGCCACACUGGAACUGAGACACGGUCCAGACUCCUACGGGAGGCAGCAGUAGGGAAUCUUCCGCAAUGGGCGAAAGCCUGACGGAGCAACGCCGCGUGAGUGAUGAAGGUCUUCGGAUCGUAAAACUCUGUUAUUAGGGAAGAACAAAUGUGUAAGUAACUAUGCACGUCUUGACGGUACCUAAUCAGAAAGCCACGGCUAACUACGUG